Molecule: small nucleolar RNA, 77 nt
Organism: Octodon degus (degu)
Lineage: Eukaryota; Metazoa; Chordata; Mammalia; Rodentia; Octodontidae
Source: Ensembl
UGGAGGAAGCCAAUGAUGACAAAUUUGAUCUGACUCACUGUGCUGAGUUUGUUCACUCCAGCCAUGAGCCUCGUGUU